Non-coding RNA from Callithrix jacchus (white-tufted-ear marmoset), 3624 nucleotides. Lineage: Eukaryota; Metazoa; Chordata; Mammalia; Primates; Cebidae. The record is from RefSeq and is a predicted model, not a curated record.
AACCUAGGGCGGGCGCGCACCCACCAGAACGGUCACAGUCAGAGAUCUGCGCAUGCGCGGGACGCUGGAGGCUCGUGGAAAGCGUUCUGGAUCCUACUUCCGCGUCGCUUCCUCUGGGCAGGUUCUCACUCUGUCCCCAGGCUGGAGUGCAGUGGCAUGCUCAUGGCUCACUGCAGCCUUGACCUCAUCAGGCUUGGGGGAUCCUCUCACCUCAGCCUCCCUAGUAGCUGAGACCACAGGUGGUGUCCCUGUAACUCUGGGACUCUGAAGCGGUGGCUUAUGGAUUUGUUUUGGCUGGCAAGGACCAAAGUUACAGAGAAGGGACUUAGUUACAAGCCCAGACCUGGCCGUGCGUUCGCCCUCUGUGACUGGAGCCCAGGGUUGGAGCCCAGAGGAUGGCGUGAGAAAUGAAAAGCACCAGCACUCGUCUCAUUAAAGCCAAACAGAUGAAAGUAGCCUCACGUCUUCCUUGGCUGACACCUACCCACCCUGACUGCAGUUAUUUCCCAGAGGAGUCCCCGACUUCCCAGGCUCUGAAAUACAACUCGUGUGCAUGGAGGUGAACUCAUCUAUCUUCUGGGUUCCUGGCAACCUGGAAGUGGGGAAGUGGAUCCCCCUUCCAUUACCCAGGCCAGCUAUAGCCUUGUAUCUGCCCAUCCUUCUGAACUGCUGCUGGACCUGAGGCUGAGGACGACAGGGCCCCAUUCAGGUAAGUGACUGCUUGUGUAUCUACCUCCACUUGUUCCAGCAAGGCCUGUCUCCUCCAGAGCCCCCCACUUUCCAGGGUUCCCUGGCUUUGGGCUGGAAAGCGACCACAGGCCUUGAAGGACUACGGGUGGAAGCAGGACAAGGUGCUGGCAAGGGGUGUCCAAGAACAAUUCCCAGAAACACGGGGCAAGAAUGUAGGACGAUGCAUCAUCCCUCCUCUCCCCCUGCUUCUCCAGAGUUGAGACUAUCAGCAGAGUCCAGACACCAUGGAGAGGAAAGUGCUGGGUGUGUGAACGUAGCCAGGGGAAGAGAGUUAACUUACUCUGUUUUCCUUAGGGGAAAGGAAGGAAAGGGAGUUUUUCUGGCUUGCUAACAGACUGAUAAGGAGUUCCAGGAGCAGGACACGCUGACAGAGGUUAGCCCUUGGUGGGAAUGGGGAGGGUGGGAGAGUGGCUGAGGGAAGCAGCAGGACAAGGACAUUCCAGUGCCUGGGAGGAUGGACCUCGCCAGGAGCCUUGUUCUCCACUGCACUUACCUAACUCCCAGUCUUAAUUGUAACUACCCUUCUUCCAAAUUAAGCCUUCCUUUCCCGAUUCUUUGUCCUUGACCACAAAAAGGGAUUUUUUCCACGCCUGUCCAGAGGUUUGCCCGAAACCCAAUUUCCUCUACCAUGAGGUCUUCCUAAAGUCUAGCUUCUGUUCUUACACAUCAGCCCAUGAUCAUAAGGUGCUCCAACUCUCUUUCAGAGAGGGUGCCCUUUAACUGAGAAGGAAGAAAAUGAUUACGAUUGAACACAGAACAAAGUCUAUGGCAGAGGUGGUUGUGGAAGACCCUGCCUUUAAGAGAGGAAGUAACAAACACUCUGGUGAAAAUUCUGGGAGAUAGGGUUAGGAAUUUUCUUGCAUUAACAGUAAAUGAUGUAGAUUAUACUCAGCCUUAAAAGAAAAUCUUGGCCAGGUGCUGUGGCUCAUGCCUAUAAUCCCAGAAUUUCGGGAGAUUGAGGCAGGAGGAUCACUUGAAGCCAGGAAUUUGAGACCAGCUUGGGCAACAUAGCAAGACCCCUACCUUUGUAUAUCUGAGUUAUUAAAAAAAAAAAAAGAAAGAAAAGAAAAGAAAAAAAAAGCAAGACCUCAUGUUUACAAAAAUAAAAAAAUUAGCCGGGUGUGGUGGCACACGCCUGUAGUCCCAGCUCCUCAGGAGGCUGAGGUGGGAGGAUCGCUUGAGCCCAAGAGGUCAAGACAGCAGUAAGGUAUGAUUGUGCCCCUGCACUCUGGCCUGGGCAACAGAGUGAGACCGUCUCUGAAAACAAAAAACAAAAAAACAACCAACAACCCUGUCUUGACACCAUUGGCCCUGGAGCUUUUCACAGGCGGGCAGAAUAAAGCCCAGAGUCCUCUAUCAAUUUCACCUCUAACCCAGGCCCACUGCAGCAUGGAAACGGGCUCUAAAAAAGCCUAGUAUCAAUAUGCCUAGUUCCUCUUUCCUAUGCCUUUCCCAGAGACUGCUGGCUCCAUGGCCAGCCAGAUGCUCCUGACUCACAGGACACCAGACAUUACCUCCUAGGCUGAGGUCACUCCAUCCUGUCCCCUGUCUUUGUACCCCUUCCUCACAAGCAAGGAUCAACUGUGCUUUCGCCCCUAGACUCUGCUGUUUGGGUAAAUACAUACAACGGAUGUCUUAUUCCUCUUACCCUUUCACUAUUACGUUUUUUUUUCUUUGACCUGUAGGAAGUUCUCCCUGAUUGCUAACUAGCAUUUCCUGCAAUUAAAAAGUUCGGGGAAGACAGGAGAUAUACUUUGACACUUGCUUUGUUUUUGUUUUUUUUAAAUUAGAAAGCCAGAAAAUUGUGGAGAAAGCUUUCUGGAGGAUUUGUGAUUGGGUAGAGGUAACUCUUAAAAAUAAAUUCUCCUGUAAGGGCAUGGUGGCUCAUGCCUGUAAUCCCAGUACUUUGGGAGGCUGAGGUGGGUGGAUCACUUGAGGCAGGAGUUUGCGACCAGCCUGGGCAACAUGGUGAAACACUGUCUCUACAAAAAAUACAAAAAUUAGCCAGACAUGGUGGCACCCACCUGUAGUCCCAGCUACUUGGAGGCUGAGGUGGGAGGAUUGCUUGAGCCUGGGAGGUGAAGGCUGCAGUGAGCUGGGAUGGAGCCACUGAAUUCCAGCCUGGGUGACAGCAAGAAAGCGCCCUCACCUCACUCCUAAGACUUUGCAUCACCAAUUCCUAGUUCUGUGUAAACAGCUGGGUUUCAAUACCCUUAAGAGGGAUUCCCUGGCUCUGGCACAGCUUAGCUCUUCCCUAGAUGCCUCAGUAGAUGUUCUUUUAGAGGAGUGCUGUCUUGGGCUGUGUGUGUUAUCUGUUUCCAUACCAUAAAAGGUUUUAUUUACCUAAAUAGAAUCUACUGAAUAAGGGUGUCUACCGCAGAAAGCAGAAGAGGUUAAACUCAGGGAGGACUUCCCAGUUAGCCCUGGGUGAGGGAACACAGAAUCCCUCCCCUGCUGGUGGAGGAAGGGCCACUCUAACGGGUACACAGGACAGUCUCCCAGGCUAUACUGACAGAUAGAGGCAGGGAUUGAAAUGACUUCUAAUCAUUGGGGUGGGGGGGGGGCAAUUCUGAUUUCUCAACAUAAGUUAUUGAUUCCAAGACUUAGGGAAACAAGGGAGAUGGGUUUGGAUUCAAUGAUCACAGCUCAGGUUUUGACAGUGUGGACUGUGGUUUUCAUGAUCAACUACAGAGCCGAAGCUAUCCAUACAGGGGUGACCUUUCUCUGCAGAGGAGAUGGGGGUAGAGACUCAGGAGACCACUGAACUUGCCUUUGGAACAAAACGGGGCUGGAGUCAGCCAGGUGAGCCAUGGUGGACCGACAAAGUGGGGGGCAUGAGAAAGCGGAGAGUUAGAGGCAAGAGGCACCCACCUC